UACGGAUGUGUCAAGCGUUGUUCGGAAUCACUGGGCAUAAAGGGCGCGUAGGCGGGUUGCUAAGUCAGCUGUGAAAGCCCACGGCUUAACCGUGGAACGGCAGUUGAUACUGGCAGUCUUGAGUUCGGGAGAGGAGAGUGGAACUCCUGGUGGAGCGGUGGAAUGCGUAGAUAUCAGGGGGAACAGCGGAGGCGAAGGCGGCUCUCUAGUCCGAAACUGACACUGAGGCGCGAAAGCCAGGGGAGCGAACGGGAUUAGAUACCCCCGUA
Molecule: ribosomal RNA, 269 nt
Filed under: uncultured prokaryote
Description: partial 16S ribosomal RNA
Rfam family: Bacterial small subunit ribosomal RNA
Source: RNAcentral